GUCUGUAUAAUUAAAACUUAAGAUUCUCUUAGAAUGUAUCUUGAUCUUGUUGCAUUUACUAUCAUAAUUAUAAAAGGCAAGAUUUAAGGGAAAAGGAAAGUAGGUUUCGAACCUGUCGCUUGAAGGGCGAGAAGAAGAGUUCAUGAACCACUACACUAUGAGACCUCUAACUGUUUCGGCGCCCCUACAUUGUUUUUAAAUUCUGGUAUCUAAAGCCCAUAUUUAAGACCACCUCCAUCAGUGUCUCUUAAGGCAUAUUCUAAAAAAAAAACAAGAAAAAAAUAAAUAAAUAAGGAUAAAGGAGCAAGAACCGGUGUCUAUUUUAGGAUUUUUAGAGAUGUUAAGAACCUUACGUGUCACGUUCUUAUUCGACCUCCCAUUUAUGUCUCUCUCUUUCCUCCUCCAAUCUAGAUCACCCCAUUUUCUCCUACGAUGAUGUCAUUUUUAUUUAAACUUCUUAUGUAUGCUUUUUUAUGUUAUUAAAUUUAAUCAUUCAAAAACAAAAUCCAAUCAUUCAACUUCUAUUAAAAAAAAUUAAAAACCCCAAAGAGAUUCUCCCAUUGGACCCAAAAAAAAUUAAUUACUCUAAGAAAGGUUCUAAACUCCUUAAAUCACAAAAUUAACUAUUAAAUUAUUCAUUAGAAUUCAUAAUAGGUUCUAACCAUUGAGCUUGCUCUAAGAAUCUAUUAGGUUUAAUAAGACUGGAAGCACACAAAAAAAUGUGGCCGCUUUCUUAAAAAAAUAGAGAAAAAAUAUGUUGUAUAGGAGAGUUGAACCAGAUUGGUAAAACAAAGUCUAAUUUCUAGAGUUAAUACCACUAGACUAAGACAGUCUUUUCAAAAAUUUGUGGCCGGAAUAGUUUCUUAAAUAUAUUGGCCGGAAGCAUGUGUUUCAUUGGCUUGGUCCAAGGGCUGGUGGCUCUGCUUAGAUUUGUUGUCUUUUUGCAUUGUUUACAUUUUAUCCAUAUAUUUUUGUAAAGGUUUUUUAGUCUAAGCUGAAUUCAAUGAUACAAACAAUAACAUGCAAUAAUCAAAUCUCUGUGUAAUUACUAAUUACAAUUGUUAAAUAGAUAUACAUGUGUUGAGAAAAAAAAAGAUGUACAUUUACAAAAUAAGAAAGUAAAGCACUUUCUUUGAAAAAUUCAUAGAAAUUGAACUUUUGC
This 1162-nucleotide long non-coding RNA is filed under the name Brassica napus (rape). RNAcentral's name for it is "long non-coding RNA (BNAP_LNC016659)". The record is from RNAcentral. Lineage: Eukaryota; Viridiplantae; Streptophyta; Magnoliopsida; Brassicales; Brassicaceae.